GACGGGGACCCGCACAAGCGGUGGAUGAUGUGGAUUAAUUCGAUGCAACGCGAAGAACCUUACUACCCUUGACAUGUCCGGAACUUGCCAGAGAUGGCUUGGUGCCCGAAAGGGAAUCGGAACACAGGUGCUGCAUGGCUGUCGUCAGCUCGUGUCGUGAGAUGUUGGGUUAAGUCCCGCAACGAGCGCAACCCUUAUCAUUAGUUGCUACGCAAGGGCACUCUAAUGAGACUGCCGGUGACAAACCGGAGGAAGUGGGGAUGACGUCAAGUCCUCAUGGCCCUUAUGGGUAGGGCUUCACACGUCAUACAAUGGUCGGUACAGAGGGUUGCCAAGCCGCGAGGCGGAGCCAAUCCCACAAAGCCGAUCGUAGUCCGGAUUGUUCUCUGCAACUCGAGAGCAUGAAGUCGGAAUCGCUAGUAAUCGCAGGUCAGCAUACUGCGGUGAAUACGUUCCCGGGUCUU
RNAcentral lists this ribosomal RNA (464 nucleotides) under uncultured Thiobacillus sp. Its description in RNAcentral is "bacterial SSU rRNA". It matches the Rfam family "Bacterial small subunit ribosomal RNA", at positions 912 to 1382 of the family's 1533-position model. The record is from RNAcentral. Lineage: Bacteria; Pseudomonadati; Pseudomonadota; Betaproteobacteria; Nitrosomonadales; Thiobacillaceae.